UCUCUCAUUAGAGUAAUUGGACAGUUCUUGAGUCUGAGUUCUUGAGUCAGAAUUACUCCCAUGGAGCCAAGCAUUGGUGUUGGGCUGAGGUUCCUGAAAGAAGGAAUUGCCUGCAUGAUGUUUUGAAUACCUCUGUUCCAGGGCUGGCCUGUGUGUGGAGUGACUAUAUUAUCACUUGAUGUGGAAGUCGUAAUGGUGGCAACCUUAAAGAAUGUCCUAAAUGGGUCCAUUGUCUUCUGACCAUGUUUGAUGCUUGAGGUGAGGAAGGCAUAUGUGGUGUGUUAUUGUUAUCAGGAACAUCAUUUUCAGACAGAAGUGUGAUUUUUCAAGUUGCCAAGGUCUUUCUAAUUUCUGAUGUAACUCACAUGGGAGAGAACAUUUAUGCCAGUCCUUCCUUCUAUAGAAAUAAUAACAGGUCUUACUCCAGAAUAUAAAGUGACUUAACUAUUUGAUACUCAUUUCACUGGGAAAACUAAGUACUCCCCCUGCCCCGCCAUAAUAAGAGAGGGAAACAAGGAUGGAAAUUAAGAUGAAAUGAGAUUUUCAUUAAAAAGCUGAAAAGAACCCCACGGAGUAGAACAACUGAGGAUCUCAGAAUGGAAACUCAGGGAACAAUUAAAGGAUGGAAAACUGCAUGGAGGAUGUGGUCAGACCCCUCAGUGUCCCUGCAGAAUGUGUCCAAUCCAAGAAGCUGAAUGCACUUAUUGCCCUAGUAGAGGGCGUUAGGCAGUAUUGCAUAGAUAUUCAGUGCAGGUAGAGGUGAUAUACAAUGGAAAAAAAACCAGAAGAGUGGAAGAGGGAAAAAAACCCAGAGUGCACAAUAGAAACCGCUGUAGAACUGCCAGUGUCAGGCUGCAGCAGUGCUGAGAAGAAAGGCAAGGUAGCAUAGGAUGAGGGUAUGUUCACAGAAGAAAAGAUUACAGAGCUGCUGGUAGAGGGAGAUAUCAGGAUCAAGUUCCACCUCCCGAUGAUAUCAGCGGGAACUUGUGCUUCAAAAAUUGAUAGCAUAAUCUUGCCUUUAGGAUUUUCUAUACUACUGUCAACGGUCUGAGGAUUUUGUGCUGACUGUGGGCAAAGGACAGUGUCUGACAUUUAGAUCAUGAAUGCUUGGGUGCAUAACUUGCAGAGUUAUAGUGUGAUUUAAUAAAAGAUCCUGGUGUGGCACUGCUCUGAGAGAUCUGUGGUGUCCAGGGAAGAGCCCUGGGAUAGAACUGUGAGCCAGAGUCACAAUUAGCACUGGUGGGAACAUCUUCACCAAAUGAAAAUUCAUUAAAAUAUCCUGUUUUGUUGACACUGAAACAUCUGUUUCCAUGAAAUUUUUUUCAGGAAAUUUAGAGUGAGACAGAGAGCUGUGUGGUUAGGGCACUUACUUGAGAUGUGGGGGAAACAGAUUCAAGUCUUUGCUUUGUAUUGGGUCGAACAGGGAUUUUAACCUGGGUGUCCAACAUCCCAGGCCAGUCCCCUAAUAACCUGUAUGUGCUCUCUUUUGUUCUUUGUGAAAAUAUGCAGUAGGUUUUGUCUUCAUUCCAAGGUGGAAGAAUUUUGAAACCUCAAUGUUAACAAUAUGUUUAGUCUCUUGAAAGCAUGUUAUAUUUUUGUUUUAUUUGUAACCAUAUCUGUUUUCACUGUCCUUAUU
Mauremys mutica (yellowpond turtle) is the source of this 1636-nucleotide long non-coding RNA. RefSeq lists it as uncharacterized. The transcript is spliced from 3 exons. NCBI's taxonomy places the organism in Eukaryota, Metazoa, Chordata, Testudines, Geoemydidae. The record is from RefSeq and is a predicted model, not a curated record.